RNAcentral lists this ribosomal RNA (253 nucleotides) under uncultured bacterium. RNAcentral's name for it is "partial 16S ribosomal RNA". It matches the Rfam family "Bacterial small subunit ribosomal RNA", at positions 524 to 776 of the family's 1533-position model. The record is from RNAcentral.
UACAGAGGGUGCAAACGUUGCUCGGAAUCAUUGGGCGUAAAGCGCACGUAGGCGGCCUAGCAAGUAAGGAGUGAAAGCCCUCGGCUUAACCGAGGAAGUGCUUUUUAAACUACUAGGCUUGAAUACUGGAGAGGGUCGCGGAAUUCCCGGUGUAGAGGUGAAAUUCGUAGAUAUCGGGAGGAACACCAGUGGCGAAGGCGAGUCUCUGGGAUGUUGCUGACGCUGAGGCGCGAAAGCCAGGGGAGCAAACGGG